Molecule: long non-coding RNA, 3300 nt
Organism: Cyprinus carpio carpio
Lineage: Eukaryota; Metazoa; Chordata; Actinopteri; Cypriniformes; Cyprinidae
Source: Ensembl
AGUUGCAAAGGGGCGGAAAAUUUCCCGUACAUUUCCAGAAAAUUUCCAUGGGAACUUCAUCUCGGGAAUUUUGGAAAUAUUCCAAGUUGGAAACUUCACAGGAAUUUACAUGAAUUAUUUAGAAAAUUUAUAUAAACUGUAUAUACAAACAUAAACAUUUUGUUUGGUCAUAAGCUGACAUGCAAGCAAACUAAUGCACAAAUGACAUUUUUGACUUUGAUUUAAUUGUAAUUAGAACUUUAAUUAUUUUAUUGAGCAACACAAAAGCAUAAAUGUUGAAUGAAAAAAAACACGCAUUUCCUCUUGUUUGCUUUAAAACGAAAGCAUUCCCCACCCUUCCCCUUCCAAAAAAGUCCCAUUCAAAAUUGAAAUUAAAGGGGUCCUAUGAUGCUGCUAAAAAGAACAUUAUUUUGUGUAUAUGGUAUAAUGAAAUGAGUUUAUGCGGUUUAAGGUUCAAUGAACACAUUAUUUUCCACAUACUGUACAUUAUUGUUUCUCCUCUAUUUUUUACAAAGCUCAUAGCUCUGAAUAGCGAGGUGUGCUGUGAUUGGCCAGCUAUCCAGCGCAUUGUGAUUGGCCAGAUGCCUCAAGCUUGUGACAGAAAUGUUAUGCCUCUUAACAUAUUGUGAUGCCUUGUCCGGCUGGAGCGACGAGACAUACACAUAAAACCCAUUAUAAACGUGAUAUAAACAUGAUUUCUAGUCGUGUCUUCUUUUGGAAGGCCAAACAAAGUAGUUUUGCUUUCUAAAUGAAACAGCGUCACACACCGCGGCCUUGAGUGAGCAGAGGCCGGAGGUAUAGAGUGAACCGCGGAUGGCUUGAGUGAGCAGAGGCCGGAGGUCUAGAGUGAACCGCGGAUGGCUUGAGUGAGCAGAGGCCGGCAGCUUGAGGCAGAUUCUACGAAGGAGCGUACCUUGGGCUUGCAGCAACCACAUGUGGACUCCGCUUCAUCCAUGGUGAAAGCCGAUUUGGCGAUCCACAGUGCAAAGUUGAUGUAUUUCCUCAGCAACCAGCACGGAUCAGCUCCAGGCAUGAUGAAGCGGAUAUCGUCCUCUUUUGGAAGGCCAAACAAAGUAGUUUUGCUUUCACAGUGAAACACACAGUGUCUAUACGUCAUGGCGGCGGCGGCAACAACAAUACUACAACGAGAAUAAAAGGUACGCCUUCUUUCUUUGCAUGAACAUCUGGGCAGUGUUAUGCAAAUCUUCCCAAAUACUGACGUAGAUAUGUGGGGGCGUGUUAGAACGAGCCCUUUUAAGGGGGCGUGGACGAGUGUUAACUUUGAUAAAGAAUAUCUCUUUGGAUUUGAGACUUUAGUCUUUGCAACUUCACAGAUCUUAUUUAUUCACCAAGAGCUUGUAACACUCCAAAGAGAAAGGAAAUUUGAAAUCGCAUCAUAUGACCGCUUUAAAGCAUUUUCUCCCAAGCUGCUUAAGUCUCUGGUUUCUGCAUUUUCCCUCUUAAUAUAUUCAGGUCUCAUUGGCUUCUUCCUGGACCUCAUUAACAUCCUCCAUGUCUGACUCCUCUUCAUCUUCGGUGUCACUGUCCAGCCUUGUCCAGGAUGGCUCUGUGUCAGGCUCAAAGAGCCGUAGGUUUGCUCGGAUGGCCACCAGUUUCUCCUCCCUUGCAUUCGUGAGCCUGUUGCGAACCUUUGUGUGCGUGUUCCCCAACAGUGACCAGCUGCACUCAGAGGCGGCUGAUGUUGGUGGGAUUUGAAGGAUGAUAGAUGCUACAGGUGCAAGGGCCUCAGAUCCACAAAGUCCUUUCCACCAGGUAGAUGCAGAUAUGUGCUGGCACGACUGCCAUAUCCCAUCCCAUUCCCAAAGACCUUGCUUGGUACGGUACUUUGCUAGACUGCCGAGAACUUUGCCUUCAUCAAGCCCAAGACGGUGAGACAAGGCAGUAAUAACAGUGUAAGCACUGCGGAUCUCUUCAGCAGAGAGUAUGCUUUUCUCAUACUUUGGGUCCAGCAUGUAUGCUGCUGCAUGUAUUGGUUUGGUGCAGAACUCUUGGUGCUUCUCCAGGGACUUGACCACUGCAGUUUCCUCCGCUUGAAGCAGCAGGGAGGCGGGCAGGACAGUUUGCAUUUCUUCUUUGAGCUCAGCAAACAGAUAUUUAACAUCUGACAAGAUGGCAGUAUCCCCUUCUAUCUUGGCAAUAGCUGCUGCUAUUGGUUUGAGGAUUCUCAGGCUGCCAGUCACUUUUUCCCAGAACAUAUCAUCUAACAGGAUUCUCUUGAUGGCACUUUCAAUGGCUGCAGUUUGGGAUAUGGCCAUCUCUUGCAAAGACUCCUUCCCCUCUAGCAGACUGUGGUACAUGAGGACAACCCCACUCCAUCGAGUGAUGCUGGGGAGCUUCAGUGUGGCGUUCUUGUUUUUUUCUUUUUGCUUAGAGAGGUAGAUUGCUGAAGCUACCUGUUUGCCCUUCACAUAUUUCACGACUUGCUUCGCUGUCUUAUACAGUGUGUUCAUUGUAUUCAGUGCCAUGAUGUCCUUAAGGAGACGAUUAAGAGCAUGGGCAGCACAGCCAAUUGUUGUUAUGUGAGGGUAGGUCUCCUUCACGUGUGCCCAAGCAACCUUCAUGUUUGCAGCAUUGUCAGUUACAAGUGCACAAACCUUCUCAGGUCCAAGAUCACUGAUGACUGCUUUCAGCUCAUCAGCAAUGUAGGAUCCUGUGUGUCUGUUGUGCUUUGUGUCUGUGCUCUUAUAGAAUACUGGUUGAGGGGUGGUGACAAUGUAGUUGAUGAUUCCUUGUCCCCGGACAUUCGACCACCCAUCAGAGAUGACUGAAAUGCACUCUGCUUUGUCAAGGGUUUGCUUGACCUUUGCUUGCACUCUGUUGAACUCUCCAUCCAGCAAAUGAGUAGAUAAAGCAUGACUGGUGGAAGGUAUGUAUGAAGGACGAAGGACAUUUAGGAAUCUCUUCCAGUAGACAUUGGAUGUGAGCAUCAGAGGUGAGCCAGUUGCAUACAUUGCUCGAGCGAAACAUUCAUCAGCAUUUCUCUGGCUCCGUUCAUCCAUCGAGUCAAACAAUCCUCCGAUUCCAGAGUGACCGGGAGCUGACGAGAGGGUGUCUGAAUCUGAAUCAUUUUCACAUCGGAGGGAAGCAGAUGAACUCUUGUCUGGGGUUGCUUGUUUUGAGUUCUGGGAAAACUUUGGGCACUUGGCUAUAUGCUGCUGCAUCUUUGUGGCAUUCUUAACAUAGGUCUUUGCACAGUAUUUGCAACUGUACACAGCCUUUCCUUCCAGAUUGGCUGAGCGGAAAUGUAUCCACACAUGAGAUGGUGUGCGUGGCAUUGUU